UCUUUCAGAAUAUUUUAUAAAUCUAAAUUAAGGAUACUAUUUAUUUUACCUAGGUUAUAGUUCUAUUUAAGUUCUAGUUGAUACUAUUUAUCUGUUUUAAUUUACAGUUUGUUCUAAUCUGUUUAAUCUAUUUUAGUUCUUUGGUGUUCCCUUAAGGAGUUAAAAAAAAACAAUAACAGCAAAACAACAACACAGCAGAACAAUUCAGCAAGGACAGGUCAAACUGUGCUUCAGAUUGAUGUCUUGUUUCCUCCGAUGAUCCAACAGUUAAUUCUGUUUCAGUGACCCACUGCUAAUGCGCACAACAACAUAGGCAGGUCAUACCAAGUUGCGGGGUUGGCAAUGUCCAGCAGAAGGUGUAGCUCCUACUAGAUGGUCAUUAAGCUCCCGGGUUGGCUCGCCAUCUCGUUCUCCUUAGGAAGAUCCAAUUCAGUGAUGAUCCGAGACUCCUUAGUCCAAAUCCCAGCCGAACGAAAAAAACCAAAACAACAACAACAACAAAAAAAGCCUGUUGCCAACAAAGAGCGACAGUUAGCAACAGUUCGCUCCUCUGCUGAUAAGCCGUUAAAUUUCUGUUAGCUUCAGUGGAUCAGCUGUUACUCCUGCUGACUUUCAGUUGGCUUGCUGUUAGCACCAAGAGCAACAGCCAACGCCUCCGCUGAUCAGCCUCCGCUUCAGCUUUCCAUUUAAAUUAAAUAAAUGUUUACAUUAUCUAAAAAAACAAAAGAACAAAAUACACUUCCAACUCACCAAGUCCAGUUUCACAACACACAAAAGAUGAUCCCGAACACAGUCAGGGUGAGGAAAAAAAAUAAUGCGAAAAGCUCCUUCUCAAGAAAUAAGACAAAACAAAACAAAAACUCGUCUUAGACAGCAAGUCAGCUACGAGUGGUCAAUUUCCAGUGUUGGUGCUGGAAGGCUGCCAUUUUUGAUGCGCUGCUUGAGCUGAAAUGGAACCGUCCGCUCGCUUGCUGUUCCUCCAGGAGGCUCCACCAGCACAGGAUGGAACAUCAGAGUGGCAUUGCGGCUGGCAAAUAUGAUAGAGACAAGGAGCCGUAGCGAGAAACGGCGAUAUAGGGCGCAAAGCAAUAAAAAUAUCAUUACA
This is a long non-coding RNA of Xiphophorus couchianus (Monterrey platyfish), 1105 nucleotides long. RefSeq lists it as uncharacterized. The transcript is spliced from 2 exons. Lineage: Eukaryota; Metazoa; Chordata; Actinopteri; Cyprinodontiformes; Poeciliidae. The record is from RefSeq and is a predicted model, not a curated record.